Long non-coding RNA from Solanum lycopersicum (tomato), 354 nucleotides. RefSeq lists it as uncharacterized. The record is from RefSeq and is a predicted model, not a curated record. NCBI's taxonomy places the organism in Eukaryota, Viridiplantae, Streptophyta, Magnoliopsida, Solanales, Solanaceae.
ACCAAUGUGACAUCAAAAAUCCCAAAUCCCUAUUCUUUUCCAAAUUCUCUCAAACCUCGAUUGGAUGCCAAACUCAAGUUCAAGCUAGAGGAUAAAUUUUCAAGUGCUUUCUUCUCCUAAUGUGUGGGUUUUUCUAACAUAAAUGUGGUGAUGGCUAGAUGAUGAUUCUAAGAGCAAUGAGCUUGGAUAGAUGUUUCCCAAGGGGUCCUUAAGAUUCAAGGAUUUCCUAUGUAAAGAUAUUCAAAGUUUAUGCAAUAGUGUAGAUUGUAUUAUUAUUUUUGUAAUGGUAGUAUCCCUAGUCUAUCUUAUUGAUGUUCAGCCUAAGAUGGCAAUUGAUAUUUAGUGUCUACACUU